AAGCAGUAACUAACGCCACGUCUCAGCAGCUUCUUGCUGACCUCCUUGGUGAACUUUUAGGUUAGAAGAGGACUCUGGGGAGAGCAAUCAUAAGUGGAGCAGCAGAACAAUGGAACGGAGGAGCUGUUUUCACUGACAAAUUGAAUUUGCAGCCCAAUAAGGUUCAUACAUCAGGAUUUCCGUGGAGAUAGUUCAAUAGGGACAAUGCGAGCAGUUGGAGUAAGGUCCACCUCUGCUCAUACUAACUACAUCACUCAACAGAGAAACUCCUUGGAAAAUAAGGAAACAUAUUCUCCGAGGUGUCCAAUUUCUGGAGGGCUGAACAGGAGCUGAGAUUUAGAACUGUAACAAACCAAGAGUUUUUAAUAAUAAUUGUGUUCUUCGCGAAA
Ornithorhynchus anatinus (platypus) is the source of this 389-nucleotide long non-coding RNA. RefSeq lists it as uncharacterized. NCBI's taxonomy places the organism in Eukaryota, Metazoa, Chordata, Mammalia, Monotremata, Ornithorhynchidae. The transcript is spliced from 2 exons. The record is from RefSeq and is a predicted model, not a curated record.